GAGGCCCUCUGGUUAAUGACCAAUGGCCGCACAAAUCGUCUCUUUUCUGCCAAUUAGGCAAAAAGAAGAAAAAAAAUAGUGUGGGCCAGCGGAGGAAUUUUAUCCGGGUAAAACCGCCGAGAAUGUGCGACAAGCUUCACGCGGAGAGAUGAUGGCGUUAGAGGCGGUGGUGUCGCGAGCAUGGACAUUUCCUCAUUGACCUUAUCUUCCCUUGAACUGCCACGUGUCCAGAUUUUAGAGAUGGAAAUACAGAGGCUGCAAACUCAAGUGUGUCAGAGAGAAGCUCUUGAUUACCAGAUACAAUGUUCCUUUUUCAGGUAUGCUGAAAGUACGGUAAACAAAGGGUAACCUGAGCGCUGCGGCACCACUGGUGUCCUGUUUCUAAAGCAGCAGUGAUGAGUCUCAUGUCCAUUGCAAAGAACAGCAUUUGGGUUUUAUCUUUGUUUUGUGACAAAAAGGCAAAGCUUGUCUUUGUGGAUGGCAACAAAAGUUAAGUGAAUCUGAUUCAACUUUAAAUAAACAAGAGUGCUUU
Molecule: long non-coding RNA, 532 nt
Organism: Etheostoma spectabile (orangethroat darter)
Lineage: Eukaryota; Metazoa; Chordata; Actinopteri; Perciformes; Percidae
Exons: 3
Source: RefSeq, a predicted model, not a curated record